UACGAAGGGGGCUAGCGUUGCUCGGAAUGACUGGGCGUAAAGGGCGCGUAGGCGGAGUGCUUUGUCGGGCGUGAAAUUCCAGGGCUCAACCUUGGGGCUGCGUUCGAGACGGGCAUUCUAGAGUGGAGAAGAGGGUCGUGGAAUUCCCAGUGUAGAGGUGAAAUUCGUAGAUAUUCGGAGGAACACCAGAAGCGAAGGCGGCCAGCUGGCCCGAUACUGACGCUGAGGCGCGAAAGCGUGGGGAGCGAACAGG
Molecule: ribosomal RNA, 253 nt
Filed under: uncultured bacterium
Lineage: Bacteria
Description: partial 16S ribosomal RNA
Rfam family: Bacterial small subunit ribosomal RNA
Source: RNAcentral